AUAAUGCAGUCGAGCGGACCUUUUAAAAGCUUGCUUUUGAAAGGUCAGCGGCGGACGGGUGAGUAACACGUGGGCAACCUGCCUGUAAGACUGGGAUAACUUCGGGAAACCGGAGCUAAUACCGGAUAAUAUAAGGAACCUCCUGGUUCUUUAUUGAAAGAUGGUUUCGGCUAUCACUUACAGAUGGGCCCGCGGCGCAUUAGCUAGUUGGUGAGGUAACGGCUCACCAAGGCGACGAUGCGUAGCCGACCUGAGAGGGUGAUCGGCCACACUGGGACUGAGACACGGCCCAGACUCCUACGGGAGGCAGCAGUAGGGAAUCUUCCACAAUGGACGAAAGUCUGAUGGAGCAACGCCGCGUGAGCGAUGAAGGCCUUCGGGUCGUAAAGCUCUGUUGUUAGGGAAGAACAAGUGCGAGAGUAACUGCUCGCACCUUGACGGUACCUAACCAGAAAGCCACGGCUAACUACGUGCCAGCAGCCGCGGUAAUACGUAGGUGGCAAGCGUUGUCCGGAAUUAUUGGGCGUAAAGCGCGCGCAGGUGGUCCUUUAAGUCUGAUGUGAAAGCCCACGGCUCAACCGUGGAGGGUCAUUGGAAACUGGGGGACUUGAGUGCAGAAGAGGAAAGUGGAAUUCCAAGUGUAGCGGUGAAAUGCGUAGAGAUUUGGAGGAACACCAGUGGCGAAGGCGACUUUCUGGUCUGUAACUGACACUGAGGCGC
Molecule: ribosomal RNA, 720 nt
Filed under: Sutcliffiella horikoshii
Lineage: Bacteria; Bacillati; Bacillota; Bacilli; Caryophanales; Bacillaceae
Description: bacterial SSU rRNA
Rfam family: Bacterial small subunit ribosomal RNA
Source: RNAcentral